Molecule: long non-coding RNA, 824 nt
Organism: Homo sapiens (human)
Lineage: Eukaryota; Metazoa; Chordata; Mammalia; Primates; Hominidae
Source: Ensembl
AGGUCAGGGGCUCAGAAGGUUUUCUCUAAAGUCAAACCCAAAUUCCUGCUGCUGCAAAGACCUGAGGAAGUACGAGCAACCCCUGCUGAAUCUGAUGAAGAAGUAGAGAUAGAGAGGGAUGUUGGUGAUGUUGGAUCCUAAUUUCAGUUCCUAUCUCACCACAGGACCUUGGGCAUAUUAACUAACCAAUAUAGAGUUCAAGUAAAGUGGACUUGGGGCAACGCCAGGAAAGCCUGUGGUUAGUUUUUUCUUUCAUGUGACCCUCUGCCCAAAUGACGAGUCUGGGAGUGCUGGGAUCCAGGAAAGGUAACCACAGGGCAAGCGAGCACUUUCAGAUCUCUCACAGAAGCUUCCAUCAUCUGUUCGAGUUUGGAUGUUGACAGAGAAAGGUUGCACUGAAACGAGGCUGUCAGAGCAGGAGCAUCAGCCUUUGUCAGGCUGGCAACAAAUACCACUUCUGGAUCUGUGAUCAUGGCCUUUAAAGUCAUAUUUGGUCUAACAGAGUCAUCUGAAGAAACAAGCAACAGGAACCAGAAAAGUUUAAGCUUCCAUUUGAAUUCACAAAUUUUCCCAAGUGACACGGUGUCCAUAUAGCAAGAACCAGAUACAUGAUCGUGAUCACGGCUGAACACAGUGAGAUCAUUAAUCACAUAAGGCUUGCCUGUUAAUAGUUUAUUCAUCUCUACAUAGUUCCUGUCUAACUAUAACAACAGCCUUUUUAUCUAGCAUUUGUCUGUAUGGUGGCACAAACUUCACCUGGGGAGAUGUUGACCUCAUCAAGCUUAUGCAAUACUUAAAACUAUCCACUUAAACCAGAAACCUUG